CACUUGCUGCCCACUCUCACCCAUACCCUCUCAUUCCCCUCCCUCAUCGCCUCUUCGCAUCGUCGCCGGCCACCGCAGCCCAUCGCGUUCUCCCUCCGGCAGCCCACCGUGUUCUUCCUCCUGCAGCCCAGCGCUUACUUCCUCUCCUUCCUUUCUCACUACUUGCUUCCUCUCCUUCCUUUCCCAUCCCGAGGUCAAAAGACUGGUUUUUUAUGCGUCGGUGAAGAGAUUCUGGGCGGCGGAGCUGGUGUGGGCGCCGAUGCCGGAUCCGCGUGUGCGUACGCUGGAUCUGGGCGACAGAGCGGCGCUGGACAGAGUGGAGUGGCGACAGAGCGGAGUAGCGGAGUGGCCCCGGGGAAGGAUGCCUUGGCCGGCUGCGGGUGCCUUGGGUGGGGCUGCGCGUCUAUGCGGCGACCUCAUCGAGACCAAGAAGCCGAUGUCGGUGAUGCUGCUGCACAUCGAUGACCUCCUCCCUCUAAUGCGUGCCCGCCAUCGUGCGCCGUGAUAGUCGAUGUAGGGAGAGGAGGACGACCCCAGCCAUGGAGCAGCAACAACUCAAGUUUAAGGUAAAAGUGAUGGUCAUGGGUGAAAUUAGGGACGAUGCCCAGCAGCAAAAACUCACCAACACCUGCUCCGACACCAUGGACCAACAGCAGCAACUGAAGGAUGUGGGUGAGGAAAGCGGACAUGCUCAUGGAUCGACAAGGCGGUGAAGGAUGAGCUUGUUCACUGCUGAGACCGUAUCACUUUUUAUGUACUCUUUCUUGUGUCUUGAAAUAGAUGCAGUCAAGGAGAAAGAAAGGUGCCGCAUUUAGCUAGUAAGGGAAGAUGAGGAAGCUCACCGACUGCAUCUUCGUCGGCAUCAAUGCCCUCGUGCAUGUCGAUAUCAUCUUCACCAGGAUCAAUGCUCUCGUGCAUGUCGAUAUCAUCGAUAUCAUCUUCAUCGGGACCGACUCCUCCAUGUAUGUCCUCUUCUUCGGGGGCAGUACAGUUCAGAUCAAAUUCCAUGUUGAUUACUAUCUUUACCUCUUGCAAGUUGUUGUGUCGUGUUGGAGAUGCUGCCUGCUUCAAGCUGUUGCUGUUGCUGCCUACUUCAAGCCCUCCAGGAGGCGAUCUAGACCAAGUGUGGAGGCUAUCUGCAGCAGUACCUGGAGCUGCAUGGGAGGGCGCGGUGAUCUGGACCUGUGGCUGCCAAUCUGAAGCAGUACCCCCUCCGGCGAGCAGUACCUCGAUCUGAAGUAGUACUCUCUGGAGCUGGCGAGGCCUUGGGAGGGGGACAACGAUCUGAGCAGCACCCCCUCCGACGAGGCGAGUUGGUGAGGCCCCCUCCAGCGACAGGGGGCACUUUUAUACUUUCCUCCCUUUUCACCUGGUCGGGACGUUUUCUAAAACGUCAUAUAUUUCGGAACGGAGGGAGUAGCAAAUGGACUGUAAAUUAUUGAAAAUAAUGGCUAAUGGGUUGUAUGCUGUUUUCCACAGAUUUGGAGGCUGACUUCAGGGCCUACUAGGUAUAUGA
Molecule: long non-coding RNA, 1516 nt
Organism: Triticum aestivum (bread wheat)
Lineage: Eukaryota; Viridiplantae; Streptophyta; Magnoliopsida; Poales; Poaceae
Exons: 6
Source: RefSeq, a predicted model, not a curated record